AAUGAACGUUGGCGGCGUGGAUUAGGCAUGCAAGUCGAGCGAGAACCGUAGCAAUACGGGGACAGCGGCGAAAGGGACAGUAAUGUGUAGGUACCUACCCCUGGAUCUGGGAUAGCUGCGGGAAACUGCAGGUAAUACCGGAUAAUGUCUCCGGACCCAAGGUGUGAUUCCGUCUGGGGAGGGGCCUGCAUCCUAUUAGCUAGUUGGCGGGGUAACGGCCCACCAAGGCGACGAUGGGUAGCGGGUGUGAGAGCACGACCCGCGUCAUUGGGACUGAGACACUGCCCAGACACCUACGGGUGGCUGCAGUCGAGGAUCUUCGGCAAUGGGCGAAAGCCUGACCGAGCGACGCCGCGUGCGGGAUGAAGGCCUUCGGGUUGUAAACCGCUGUCGUAGAGGAGGAAAUGCAGGGGGGUUCUCCCCUUUGUUUGACCUAUUCUAGGAGGAAGUACGGGCUAAGUUCGUGCCAGCAGCCGCAGUAA
RNAcentral lists this ribosomal RNA (482 nucleotides) under uncultured bacterium. RNAcentral describes it as "partial 16S ribosomal RNA". It matches the Rfam family "Bacterial small subunit ribosomal RNA", at positions 28 to 523 of the family's 1533-position model. The record is from RNAcentral.